UACCCGCAGCACAAGUGGUGGUCAUUAUUAUUGGGCCUAAAGCGUCCGUAGCUGGUUUGUUAAAUGCCUGGGUAAAUCGAUGCGCUUAACGUAUCGAACUCCGGGUAGACUGGCAAACUCGAGACCGGGAGAGGUGUAGGCUACUCGCGGGGUAGGGGUAAAAUCCGGGAAUCCUGCGGGGAGGACCAGUGGCGAAGGCGCUACACUAGAACGGCUCUGACAGUGAGGGACGAAGCCCUGGGGCGCAAACCGG
RNAcentral lists this ribosomal RNA (253 nucleotides) under uncultured bacterium. RNAcentral's name for it is "partial 16S ribosomal RNA". It matches the Rfam family "Archaeal small subunit ribosomal RNA", at positions 474 to 727 of the family's 1478-position model. The record is from RNAcentral.